This 497-nucleotide ribosomal RNA is filed under the name uncultured bacterium. RNAcentral's name for it is "partial 16S ribosomal RNA". It matches the Rfam family "Bacterial small subunit ribosomal RNA", at positions 28 to 507 of the family's 1533-position model. The record is from RNAcentral.
GAUGAACGCUGGCGGCGUGCCUAAUACAUGCAAGUCGAGCGAACGGACGAGAAGCUUGCUUCUCUGAUGUUAGCGGCGGACGGGUGAGUAACACGUGGAUAACCUACCUAUAAGACUGGGAUAACUUCGGGAAACCGUAGCUAAUACCGGAUAAUAUUUUGAACCGCAUGGUUCAAAAGUGAAAGACGGUCUUACUGUCACUUAUAGCUGGAUCCGGGCUGCAUUAGCUAGUUGGUAAGGUAACGGCUUACCAAGGCAACGAUGCAUAGCCGACCUGAGAGGGUGAUCGGCCACACUGGAACUGAGACACGGUCCAGACUCCUACGGGAGGCAGCAGUAGGGAAUCGUCCGCAAUGGGCGAAAGCCUGACGGAGCAACGCCGCGUGAGUGAUGAAGGUCUUCGGAUCGUAAAACUCUGUUAUUAGGGAAGAACAUAUGUGUAAGUAACUGUGCACAUCUUGACGGUACCUAAUCAGAAAGCCACGGCUAACUACGUG